AACGAACGCUGGCGGCAUGCCUAACACAUGCAAGUCGAACGAGACCUUCGGGUCUAGUGGCGCACGGGUGCGUAACGCGUGGGAACCUGCCUUUAGGUUCGGAAUAACUCAGAGUAAUUUGAGCUAAUACCGGAUGAUGUCUUCGGACCAAAGAUUUAUCGCCUUUAGAUGGGCCCGCGUUGGAUUAGCUAGUUGGUGGGGUAAAGGCCUACCAAGGCGACGAUCCAUAGCUGGUCUGAGAGGAUGAUCAGCCACACUGGGACUGAGACACGGCCCAGACUCCUACGGGAGGCAGCAGUGGGGAAUAUUGGACAAUGGGCGAAAGCCUGAUCCAGCAAUGCCGCGUGAGUGAUGAAGGCCUUAGUGUUGUAAAGCUCUUUUACCCGAGAUGAUAAUGACAGUAUCGGGAGAAUAAGCUCCGGCUAACUCCGUG
RNAcentral lists this ribosomal RNA (433 nucleotides) under uncultured bacterium. Its description in RNAcentral is "partial 16S ribosomal RNA". It matches the Rfam family "Bacterial small subunit ribosomal RNA", at positions 29 to 507 of the family's 1533-position model. The record is from RNAcentral.